Molecule: unclassified non-coding RNA, 240 nt
Filed under: soil metagenome
Description: partial contains 5.8S ribosomal RNA, internal transcribed spacer 2, and large subunit ribosomal RNA
Source: RNAcentral
AACAUCGCGCACCUGCGGGAACCUGCGGAGGGAUCAUUAUUGAAUAAACUCGGGUCAGGUUGUUGCUGGCUCUGUGGAGCAAGUGCACAUCUGGCUCGGUUUUCUUUUCCAUCUAUCACCUGUGCACUUUAUGUAGGCUUUUAGAGCAUUUUUCAGCGGAUUCGAUGCUGGUUUGAGGAACCGCCAUGCGUUUUCCUUGUGCUCGGGCCUAUGUUCUUUUUUCAAUAUGCUUCAUUUUUG